RNAcentral lists this ribosomal RNA (468 nucleotides) under uncultured bacterium. RNAcentral describes it as "partial 16S ribosomal RNA". It matches the Rfam family "Bacterial small subunit ribosomal RNA", at positions 28 to 507 of the family's 1533-position model. The record is from RNAcentral.
GACGAACGCUGGCGGCGUGCUUAACACAUGCAAGUCGAACGGAAAGGCCCUGCUUUUGUGGGGUGCUCGAGUGGCGAACGGGUGAGUAACACGUGAGUAACCUGCCCUUGACUUUGGGAUAACUUCAGGAAACUGGGGCUAAUACCGGAUAGGAGCUCCUGCUGCAUGGUGGGGGUUGGAAAGUUUCGGCGGUUGGGGAUGGACUCGCGGCUUAUCAGCUUGUUGGUGGGGUAGUGGCUUACCAAGGCUUUGACGGGUAGCCGGCCUGAGAGGGUGACCGGCCACAUUGGGACUGAGAUACGGCCCAGACUCCUACGGGAGGCAGCUGUGGGGAAUAUUGCACAAUGGGCGGAAGCCUGAUGCAGCAACGCCGCGUGCGGGAUGACGGCCUUCGGGUUGUAAACCGCUUUCGCCUGUGACGAAGCGUGAGUGACGGUAAUGGGUAAAGAAGCACCGGCUAACUGCGUG